Molecule: ribosomal RNA, 313 nt
Filed under: uncultured Candida
Lineage: Eukaryota; Fungi; Ascomycota; Saccharomycetes; Saccharomycetales
Description: SSU rRNA
Rfam family: Eukaryotic small subunit ribosomal RNA
Source: RNAcentral
AAUGAUUAAGCCAUGCAUGUCUAAGUAUAAGCAAUUUAUACAGUGAAACUGCGAAUGGCUCAUUAAAUCAGUUAUCGUUUAUUUGAUAGUACCUUUACUACUUGGAUAACCGUGGUAAUUCUAGAGCUAAUACAUGCUAAAAAUCCCGACUGUUUGGAAGGGAUGUAUUUAUUAGAUAAAAAAUCAAUGCUUUUCGGAGCUCUUUGAUGAUUCAUAAUAACUUUUCGAAUCGCAUGGCCUUGUGCUGGCGAUGGUUCAUUCAAAUUUCUGCCCUAUCAACUUUCGAUGGUAGGAUAGUGGCCUACCAUGGUUU